CUACGGGUCGCAGCAGUGGGGAAUAUUGGACAAUGGGCGAAAGCCUGAUCCAGCAAUGCCGCGUGAGUGAUGAAGGCCUUAGGGUUGUAAAGCUCUUUUACCCGGGAUGAUAAUGACAGUACCGGGAGAAUAAGCCCCGGCUAACUCCGUGCCAGCAGCCGCGGUAAUACGGAGGGGGCUAGCGUUGUUCGGAAUUACUGGGCGUAAAGCGCACGUAGGCGGCUUUGUAAGUUAGAGGUGAAAGCCUGGAGCUCAACUCCAGAACUGCCUUUAAGACUGCAUCGCUUGAAUCCAGGAGAGGUGAGUGGAAUUCCGAGUGUAGAGGUGAAAUUCGUAGAUAUUCGGAAGAACACCAGUGGCGAAGGCGGCUCACUGGACUGGUAUUGACGCUGAGGUGCGAAAGCGUGGGGAGCAAACAGGAUUAGAUACCCGCGUAGUC
This 439-nucleotide ribosomal RNA is filed under the name uncultured bacterium. RNAcentral describes it as "partial 16S ribosomal RNA". It matches the Rfam family "Bacterial small subunit ribosomal RNA", at positions 339 to 795 of the family's 1533-position model. The record is from RNAcentral.